AAAGGUUUAGUAUAAUAAGUAUAAUCUAUUGUCAAUAGUUGGGUUUAAUCUUUG
This 54-nucleotide transfer RNA is filed under the name Protostrongylus rufescens. RNAcentral describes it as "tRNA-Asp". The record is from RNAcentral. Lineage: Eukaryota; Metazoa; Nematoda; Chromadorea; Rhabditida; Metastrongylidae.